GAUGAACGCUGGCGGCGUGCCUAAUACAUGCAAGUCGAGCGAAUGGAUUAAGAGCUUGCUCUUAUGAAGUUAGCGGCGGACGGGUGAGUAACACGUGGGUAACCUGCCCAUAAGACUGGGAUAACUCCGGGAAACCGGGGCUAAUACCGGAUAACAUUUUGAACCGCAUGGUUCGAAAUUGACAGGCGGCUUCGGCUGUCACUUAUGGAUGGACCCGCGUCGCAUUAGCUAGUUGGUGAGGUAACGGCUCACCAAGGCAACGAUGCGUAGCCCACCUGAGAGGGUGAUCGGCCACACUGGGACUGAGACACGGCCCAGACUCCUACGGGAGGCAGCAGUAGGGAAUCUUCCGCAAUGGACGAAAGUCUGACGGAGCAACGCCGCGUGAGGGAUGAAGGCUUUCGGGUCGUAAAACUCUGUUGUUAGGGAAGAACAAGUGCUAGUUGAAUAAGCUGGCACCUUGACGGUACCUAACCAGAAAGCCACGGCUAACUACGUGCCAGCCGCCGCCGUAA
This 515-nucleotide ribosomal RNA is filed under the name uncultured bacterium. Its description in RNAcentral is "partial 16S ribosomal RNA". It matches the Rfam family "Bacterial small subunit ribosomal RNA", at positions 28 to 523 of the family's 1533-position model. The record is from RNAcentral.